RNAcentral lists this ribosomal RNA (757 nucleotides) under uncultured Kingella sp. RNAcentral describes it as "bacterial SSU rRNA". It matches the Rfam family "Bacterial small subunit ribosomal RNA", at positions 28 to 776 of the family's 1533-position model. The record is from RNAcentral. Lineage: Bacteria; Pseudomonadati; Pseudomonadota; Betaproteobacteria; Neisseriales; Neisseriaceae.
AUUGAACGCUGGCGGCAUGCUUUACACAUGCAAGUCGGACGGCAGCGGGGGUGCUUGCACCUGCCGGCGAGUGGCGAACGGGUGAGUAAUAUAUUGGAACGUACCGAGUAGUGGGGGAUAACUAAGCGAAAGUUUAGCUAAUACCGCAUACGACCUGAGGGUGAAAGCGGGGGACGGGAGACUGCCUCGCGCUAUUUGAGCGGCCAAUAACUGAUUAGCUAGUUGGUGGGGUAAAGGCCUACCAAGGCGAUGAUCAGUAGCGGGUCUGAGAGGAUGAUCCGCCACACUGGGACUGAGAGACGGCCCAGACUCCUACGGGAGGCAGCAGUGGGGAAUUUUGGACAAUGGGGGCAACCCUGAUCCAGCCAUGCCGCGUGUCUGAAGAAGGCCUUCGGGUUGUAAAGGACUUUUGUUAGGGAAGAAAAGGGAAGUGCUAAUAUCACUUUUUGCUGACGGUACCUAAAGAAUAAGCACCGGCUAACUACGUGCCAGCAGCCGCGGUAAUACGGAGGGUGCGAGCGUUAAUCGGAAUAACUGGGCGUAAAGGGCACGCAGGCGGUGACUUAAGUGAGGUGUGAAAGCCCCGGGCUUAACCUGGGAAUUGCAUUUCAUACUGGGUCGCUAGAGUACUUUAGGGAGGGGUAGAAUUCCACGUGUAGCGGUGAAAUGCGUAGAGAUGUGGAGGAAUACCGAAGGCGAAGGCAGCCCCUUGGGAAUGUACUGACGCUCAUGUGCGAAAGCGUGGGGAGCAAACAGG